RNAcentral lists this unclassified non-coding RNA (352 nucleotides) under Hevea brasiliensis (rubber tree). Lineage: Eukaryota; Viridiplantae; Streptophyta; Magnoliopsida; Malpighiales; Euphorbiaceae. The record is from RNAcentral.
AUCUUUUUACAAAUGCUAUAUCACUGAACGUCAAACACCUACACCCAUAUUCAUAUAAACAAAGGGAGGGAGCGAGGGGAAAGUUAAUGAACAGUAGUUGAAAGUAAAAAAACAGCAAAGCUUAAUAUUCACAAUUUUGACGUUAUCAUCCACAAGGAUAGGUUACUCAGAUUAAUAAGCUAAAUAUUGCAUAAGCAAACCCAGCCUACCAUGACCUGCUUAGACAGAUGGCCUGGGGAAUUCGGCCUUUUCUCGCUUAUUAUUAUUUUUAUUUUUACAGACCCAAAGAGAGAGCAGCCUUCACGUCUAAUCUCCAUGCAAAGCCACCACCCUCCAUUCUCCACACGUCACA